GUUUAGCAGUGCUUGAAAUAAAAGCGUAUAAUAUAAAACAGAUUAAAUAUCAGAGCUCAUCAUAGUAAAAUGUCGCGUUGUUUUCAGAUCAUGAAGUGAAUUUAAAUGUUGUUUUCAAAUCAUAAAAUCGGCGAAAGUAAAUAUUUUUGAGUUUAAAAGCAGGCAUAAAACAGUAAUUUUAAGUAUCUGCCUACCUCCGCCAAAACAGCAAAUAAACUAUUAUUAAACAUAAAGGAUUAUAAAAUCCACCUUGCGACUUGUUUUCUAUAUUUAAGAAUAGUUUUGUCGUCAAUUUAGGGAUAAAGAAAGCAUCUGAAUCUUAGUUUACAAGCAAGGAAUCAAAGGACUUGAUAAUAUUUGUAUUUGGAAGGUCAGAAGACUGCGAUAAGUGUGAGGUUUCAGUGUGGGUAUUGUCUGCAAAAGGAAAGAUAGAUAAUGUUUUCGAGCUGACCAGUUACGAGAUUUUUCAGCAACUUUCAGCAACGAGAAAGCAGGUUUCAGAACUAAAAUGGAUGGUAGCAGCUGCUUUCAUAUCAGUGAGAUUUGAGAAGCAAGCGAUCCACCGAUUCUUAAAUUGUACUUUCACAAUAGCAGGAUUAAAAGAUACCUACAUGAGAUGAAAUAUUCAGUGUUUAUCAUCAUUGCUCUUGUUGCUUCCAUCGUUCAUGGAAAGCCUCGCUUCCAUUUUGCUGAUCACCUGAAUGAGGAGGUGGAGGGAAUGGAUCAAAAACUUGACAUGCCGCAGCAAUUCAAGAUAACAGACAAUGUGUGUAAAGAUAACGAUAAAUGGUGUCCAUACUUGGCUUCCCUAGGCCGGUGUAACGUGUCCAACUGGAUGCAACUGAACUGCAGAAAAAGUUGCAACGAGUGCACGUGAUAACCAACCCGCACCAGUCAGACUGACUAAAGUAAAAUUGCAUUGUUUUUGUUAAAUUGCAUUACAGAUUAAAUUGCAAGAAAAAUUCUGCUUCUUUGAAUGCAUAUGAUGCUUUGUCAGUGUUCUAAGAUUCACGCCGUAUGCAAAACGCCAUCUUGCAAAACUAUGGUCGCAAGAAAGUAGAGUUAAAUAUAUUUAGCUGAGAAAGUCUCCGAUUACAUCAUUUUUUUACUUUUUAGGUCCUUUUUACGUUUGUCAGUUGCUAGGUAUAAGCAUGCGCAAACGGUCGGCCGUAAUUAGAACUAGGUUAUCUUACAAGACUUACCGUAAUUAGAAUUAGAAGACGUCAAUCAAUCGGAUCGAUAUCCACAAAACAUAUCAACGCCGUAAAAAAGGUGUGAAGCCAUUUACUAAGUUUUUGCGAUUUGAUAAAAGGUAUUAAUUGAAAGUGGGUUGGGGAUGUUAUGGCUUAAUUCUAAUAGAAGUACAGGGCCCUUUUCACAACUUCCAAAUAAUAUCAAGAGGGUAACGAACAAAUAUUUUGAGUGAUAAGAGACUGCUGGGAAAAAGCGUUUGUGCUCAGCUAGCAGUAACUUCGACAUUUUCCCAAAAGCAAAUGAACCAGAACAUAUCUCUAGAAUUAAAUAACAUUUGGUGACUGUAACGAGAAAUAAGUCUAAAAGCUGUUACUCUUAGUACCAGGUCCUCGACAAACAACUAUGCGGACAAAAUAACUAAUUCUUCGGCAAAUAUGGAGAUAAUAUGCAUUUUUGAGGCUAGAUUUGGUUUAAUUCCCUAGGCCUGAACAUGACAAACCUGAAACCCUCAUUUAACAGGGCAUCAUUUGCUUGGUUGGAUAAAAAAAGCAAAGGAUCUAAAAGUAUAUUUGAAAAAGCUAAAUGUUUUACACUCCUGUGUAAAAACAACCCGGCAAAACCGUCCCCUGUUAAAAUUCCAGUUCGAAAAAUUGAAUGACCCAGGCACUUUUUCAUGUAAUCUAGUCCCCUAUAAAGGGCAAAGAAACUUUUUGCUCCUUCUCAGUUGAAAGUUUUGUUACCCUACCUGAACAUGUACAUAAAUUCUCUUUAGCAGGUCUUCUAGAGUUCCAUUUCUCGGAUCACAUUUUACAAAUCCACUGACUACGUUUCUUACCGUUUUUACCGGCCGGUCCUUAAAAACUCACCGUGCUUAUAGAGGGGUGUUUAUAUUCUUUUAAAAUGUACUAUAUAAGAAACUUUUUGGCGUGAUUUUGUGAAAAUCAACGACAACUGCUUUCCACACAUGCACCCUUGAGUUUUUUUAUUCUAAAGUCGACUUAUUUUCGAGUUGAACACAAAUACCAUUGCUUCUGGUUCCCAUGGAAAAGCAGCUUAGGCCACGAUUUUAAAUGAUCCAGCCAAGUUAUGAGGCGUUUUUACGAAAAAGCUGAUAUUAAGAAAAACUUUAAUUUGUCGGCAUCAAACGCACUCAAAGGCUUUAAGGAGCCAGCAGUGUAUUUAUGCAGAUUACUAGCUAAUUACACGGUUAAAAAUAAGAUCCCGAAUAUUUAGAUUUCAGGAAUGUAGCAGCUGAUUUCUGCUAUAUCCAUCCAAUAUGGCAACACUCAAGCUGAGAUAUUCUGAAGCUCGUUGAUCGCCAGGGCAGUGGCACUGCUCAACGUGUGCCUUCGCAAAAUGAGAUAACGCAACAAGUUGCUUCCAUGUCUGCUCACCGAAUAAAAGGUUUUCUCCCACCAGUUUAUUACCUGACCACAGAAGAUGAUCGAUUAUCCAUGUUUAUUGACGUCAACGAUUAUAUCGUUAAGGAACCCAAAGAAAGAAACAGGAAUUUACAUAACGAUUUACUUCAUAAGUGGGUUUUUUCAUUUGUAUCGCAGUAAGGCCUUAACGGGGAGCGUAAAAGAAAAAAAGUUUUUUAAGGAGGAAGAAAAAAUUGCCUGAAGAAAAUGAGAUUGAAGUUUCAGAGAUACUGUCUGUGGUACACAGCUUAAUGACUAUAUUUGAUUCAAAGAAAGCUGCGUCUUUUUAAUUUUUAAUUUAAAAUAUUACAAGACAUAAACUCAAAUUACUGUUUACUGGUCCGUCAUAAAGUGCUCGAUACCGUAUAGGCAGAGUUGUACACGCUAUUUGGUGCUUAGAACAGGACGGUUCUAAGUUGCUGGAAUUUAGAGCCGUACUGUUCAAUACACCGAAAAUCGUAAACUUUCACUCCACUCUGUUGACUGUACAACAAUAUAGGAGAAGGCUGUGCUUUAAGGGAAAGAGGGGAUGGAAUAAAACAUGCUGGUUUAUUCCAUCCCCCAAUUUUGGGGUUGUGCGCCCUACAUAGCCAAAAACACACUGACACGUAUGCUCAUUCAUAGCGAAAUUCUUAACUGACAUUAAAAAACGCAAUUUGUAUUACAUUUUUUAAAGCCGGAUUGGCCCCCAAUCUACCACUGCACAACCAAGAAAGUUAAAUUAAACAAGCUAUUUGUUAAAAAUUUAUAAGUAAGAAAAGCAGUUAUUUUCAAGAGGAACUAUAUUCCUUACCAAAAAUGAUAUUUUUCAUGCAUUUCAAAUGCUUGGCCAACAGUUUUGCAAUAAUUUAUCUUUUAUAGAUAUUUUAUCGAUGUUGUUGUGGAAAGAUCGUUUCAAACUGAUGAAGGUUGUCAUUUUGUGGCCACUAUCAAGCAGUCAUAUUUAAUGAUUAAGACUGAAUAUUUUUAAACUCUAUUAAAAUUGACUUAAAAUUAUUUUACGGAGAAAUCUUGAUCCAAGCUUAUGCUGUCAUCAACAUGAUUUCAUGACAUGAUUAUGGUUUCAUCAACAUAGCAAGGCCUUCCACUCAAUUUGCUGUUCUGUAACAAUAAAGUUUAAAAUAGCGAAAAAGGUCAGAUAGACAGAUCCUAAAAAUAAGAGUUUAGUGAGCACUAUUGAUUCAAGUUUCAUGAUAUUUAUUCAGAAAAUCUGUGCUUUUUGAAAAUCUAAAAUAGAAACUAGCCAAAGAUAGAAACUAGUGAUUGUAAGCAAUAUAUUAAAAGAAUAGAAACAAAGCUGAUCAAGUCUUUAAAACAAAUUUGUUUGUGCUGAUGUAUUCGAAUAGAAGAAUCAAAAUCAGGUCUUUUACAUGCUCUUCAGUGUAGACUUAAUGUCACUCUUCAAAAUACAGGUCCAAAAUAGCAUUUGAAGAACCAAUUAAACGCCCUAUUAGUUGACGCAUCUCCUCUACCCAUGUUGCUUUGUAAUUUGCUUCAUUCUGCAAUACUUUACUGCACAGCUUCUCUAAGUUUUUGAUUCCAUCGUGCACUUGCUUAAAACAUUGAACGUCCAAAGUAAGAGUUUCUUCAGAAAUUUUCUUGAAUUCUCCUUUGCGCAUCUCAUUCAGUAUUUUGUUGCAAAUCUCUUUGAUGUCUCUUACAUAGGGUACUCCUUGAUUGUUUCUAUUUGCAGCCUGAAUACGUGACGACCAGGCCUUAAGCUGUUCAUUUAAUGCCUGGAAGUCUUGUUUUUGUUCCAAGCUCUUUCCCAGUCUGCUCUCUACGUCACGAAGCUUUGCUUCAAGAGUUGCCUUUUCUUCUUUCAUCUUUGAAACUGACUUGAAGACACUGACAUCUUGAACAAGUUUUGCAUUUUUCAAACCACUAGGUGCUUUAUCAUUUAUGCCGUUUGUUGUACCAUUUAGGCCCUCCAUUUUUUCAUCUCUGCUUACCAUCCUAAGUCCAGUAGCUUUCCCAAUUUCAAUCCCUUGACAACUGGAUAUGGUUUCCAGAAACACGGGUCUGAAUGACCAUCAAACUCAAAGCAGUUGAUGCUCGUCUCUAACAAAGCUCGUUGUAACUUUGAUGUCGACUUUGCUGUAACAGUGCUGCAGAAUUUCUUCCAGUAGUUCUCGUUUAUUUAGUGCCACCAGUUGUAAUUAUAGUAACUUACAGUUGAAUAUUAUGAUGACCUUAUUAUUAAUAUCGUAUUUAUAAAAGCAAAUUCCUAUUGCUGGUGCCACUGGGCGUUUUAAAAAGUCUUUCAAUUGCUUAUUGAAUCUCGACUGGUAGAUGGAUUUGUUGGCUGACGCGGAAAUAAGCUUUCCAAAACCGAGGAUUGCUGCCAUUGAAAAUCAGUUUACCUACUUUACUAAAACAUGCUUAAUUAAUAUUUUGUCAACUUAGAAGCGUCCUGUUCUAAACACCAAAUAGCGUGUACAACUCUGCCAAUACGGUAUCGAGCACUUUAUGACGACGGACCAGUAAACAGUCAUUUUCAAUUGAGUUUAUAUGUCUUGUAAUAUUUUAAGUGAAAAAUUUAAAAAACGCAGCUUUCUUAGAAUCAAAUAUUGUCAUUAAGCUGUGUACCACAGGCAGUAACUUCAAUCUCACUUCCUUCAGACAAUUUUUUCUUUCUCCUUAAAAAACUCGUUUCAUUUUGGUUUUCUUUUUCACAAUAAACAAGAGACUUUUGAUAGGAAUGCCUUGAAAAAGAGAGUUUCUAAAGCGCAUCCUAUAUUGAGGAAUGAACGACUUCUAGAAAGUAACUGAAAAUAUUUCGAAAAGAGGCAGCCUAAAAUUAUUUACAAAAAAGACAGCGGUUUACAAUGCUCCGCAUUUCUAGCCUCUUGUCUUCAUGUUUUUCGUUAGGGAAUUUUAAAACAUUUUCCCCCAUCCACCGUAUUGGUCCCAUUGCUCUUACCCUUUUUACUUGAGUCUUUGAGUGCCCAGAUGCAGUAUUUUCGUCUGAAUUUAUUGUAAAGAAACUUAAACAGUUUCCAAACAGCCACAAAAAAAUCAACGAUUAGGAAAAGCUUUUCUGGUGGAUGGAAUCUAAUAGUAACCCUACCUCGUAGACUACUAGAAAACUAAGUAACUGAAAAUAUUUAAAAAAAGACACACCUAGAUCCAUUCUUGACACAAUGAUCACCAAGUGAGGGACAAGAGUUGGUUAUAAUACCCUUUUUGUCUCCCAAACAACGGCUAGGAGGCUAAGAGAGUUGUUGGUGAAUGUAUCUCACUCAAGUUACAAUUUUUUAUGAAAAUGUUGCUGCUUUGUCGGAGUUCGUUGGAAACUGAUUGAUCCCUCCCCCCGCAGUGUGCUCCUGAUCCAAAAUGUGAACUCGCUGUAAAAUGACAUCAACAAGAAAGAAAAAUUUGUGACUCGUGAUAUCUCUAAAUGAUUUAAAGGAAUUUUUUAUUCAUUUAGAAACUGUGAUAGCUGGCAAAACAUAUUAAUUAAUCUAAAAAAACUGGAUUUUUAUGAGGAUAUUUGCACAUCCGCACACACGUCACUUGAAGCCAACGUGGACUUCACAAUCGCAAACUUCACUUUGGUUUGUUAAUUAUUUAUUUCUGGCAUCGCAGCUUCAAUUGGUUACCACCACUCGUUAAAAAUUCAUAUCGCUAUGCAUUGGUUCUGUCACAAAGCACUUCCUGAUAUCGCCAUUGACUGUGAAAACUAGAUCUUGGUUAGCUGUUGUUCUGUGCAAAGACCAAAGAAGUGGACAUCUUCAAGUUGAAAGACAACUCUUCGCAAGAACACAAUGAACAGCAUAGCUGCAAGAGAGCUCAUUAGCAGAAGAAGCCAGGUCGAAGAAAACAUAAAAUCGAGACAAGAUCGAAUUUCUGUCAUGCUUAAAGAAAGAUCCAACCUGUUCAUCCUGUCAAAUACCAUUCAAAAAUGGGCGACCUCUGCUGAGUUGAUAGAACGGUUUUCACAGGGAAACCCUACGCUUAGGUCCUAUAGAGAGGCUUGCCUCGCAAUCAGAACCGAUGUCAAAGACAUCCGCGGCAUUAUGGAGGAGCUUUUAAGUGCCGCUGUACCAAACUUUGACAGUGUUGCAGAUGCUAUUGACAGAAUAGAUGCGAUUGUCGAAGAUGACCAGCAAACAGGGACUAAUGUGGAGGAGCUGCGUGCUGUCAUUGGAGAAGCAUGUGGUACCCUGGAAGUUAUAACCGGACUGCUUUAUGAUUAGUUGGCAUGGUAUAUAACGACCUAUUUGAUCGCAGAAGGACAGCUAGAUAUGGAGCUAGACAGAGGGAAUUAUACUGGGACCUUAAUCCAAAAGACUAGGCAACUUUCCACUGAAAAGCAAAUUUGGUUAAGAACAAUAAGUUUAUUCUUACGUAUAUCCCUUACUUGAUCACGUGUUGAAUGUUACUUG
Rhopilema esculentum is the source of this 7003-nucleotide non-coding RNA. The record is from RefSeq and is a predicted model, not a curated record. NCBI's taxonomy places the organism in Eukaryota, Metazoa, Cnidaria, Scyphozoa, Rhizostomeae, Rhizostomatidae.